GGUUAAUUAUAGUCACGAGAGCAGCAAUAACAACAGCAAAACUGAUCUUUAAGUGACAAUCAUCAUUAUCUCUAUUUUUUGAUUCCUCAAAGUGAAAAAAGAUUGAAAAUCAAAUGGACAUUGUCCAUUAGUUACUCACUGUUAUCUCAGCGUUCCCAGCACCUUGGAAGAAACAUUUCAUGGAAGUAACUCUAUUACAGCUGUGCUGUCUCUUUCUGCUCCUUUGUUGUUGAAAGAAAAAAACAAGAAGAAGACGAAAAAGAAAAAUAAAUAAAAUAAUAAUUAUA
This is a long non-coding RNA of Eptesicus fuscus (big brown bat), 287 nucleotides long. RefSeq lists it as uncharacterized. The record is from RefSeq and is a predicted model, not a curated record. NCBI's taxonomy places the organism in Eukaryota, Metazoa, Chordata, Mammalia, Chiroptera, Vespertilionidae. The transcript is spliced from 2 exons.